Caerostris darwini is the source of this 114-nucleotide non-coding RNA. Lineage: Eukaryota; Metazoa; Arthropoda; Arachnida; Araneae; Araneidae. The record is from the annotation of a GenBank genome assembly.
AACGGCCAUACCAUGCUGAAUACACCGGUUCUCGUUAGAUCACCGAAGUUCAAGCAUCAUUGGAGCGAGGUCAGUACUUGGGUGGGUGACCACCUGGGAACACCGCGUGCCGUU